GUAGAUGAUCAAAUCCUCGGAAAGCUUGCUCAGGUGAAUCGACGUAAGAGAUGCCCAAAAUAGGAACUCAGCUGUUUCAAAAAUAAAAGGAUUUUUAACAAAGGCCAUCAAUCGACGUCUUACCAAUAAAGUCUCGAUCUCCAACAGCUACCAUGCUAUUUCUCACAAUGCUUUCAAAGCCAAGUUCAAUCGCCAUUUCGGUUCUGUCAAUGGGAAAAGGAUUUCCUGCUAAUGCACCACAUCCUAAAGGCAUGGAGUUAACUCGUUUGCGGAUCUCCAGCAAUCUCUCCAAGUCACUCUUCAUGGCCCAGUAUGUCUUAUCACGGGACUAUAGUUUCGAGCCAAAUACAUUUCUGAGCGAGAAACUUGUUUCAUAUGUUUACCUAAGUAUCCA
This is a long non-coding RNA of Orussus abietinus, 394 nucleotides long. RefSeq lists it as uncharacterized. The transcript is spliced from 3 exons. The record is from RefSeq and is a predicted model, not a curated record. NCBI's taxonomy places the organism in Eukaryota, Metazoa, Arthropoda, Insecta, Hymenoptera, Orussidae.